CCUAGCUUGCUAGGAGGGUCGAGCGGCGGACGGGUGAGUAAGGCAUAGGAAUCUGCCCGGUAGUGGGGGAUAACCUGGGGAAACCCAGGCUAAUACCGCAUACGUCCUACGGGAGAAAGCAGGGGAUCUUCGGACCUUGCGCUAUCGGAUGAGCCUAUGUCGGAUUAGCUGGUUGGUGAGGUAAUGGCUCACCAAGGCGACGAUCCGUAGCUGGUCUGAGAGGAUGAUCAGCCACAUCGGGACUGAGACACGGCCCGAACUCCUACGGGAGGCAGCAGUGGGGAAUAUUGGACAAUGGGCGCAAGCCUGAUCCAGCCAUGCC
This 322-nucleotide ribosomal RNA is filed under the name Halomonas shengliensis. Its description in RNAcentral is "bacterial SSU rRNA". It matches the Rfam family "Bacterial small subunit ribosomal RNA", at positions 74 to 398 of the family's 1533-position model. Lineage: Bacteria; Pseudomonadati; Pseudomonadota; Gammaproteobacteria; Oceanospirillales; Halomonadaceae. The record is from RNAcentral.